Molecule: long non-coding RNA, 254 nt
Filed under: Gossypium barbadense (sea-island cotton)
Lineage: Eukaryota; Viridiplantae; Streptophyta; Magnoliopsida; Malvales; Malvaceae
Description: long non-coding RNA (GBAR_LNC004907)
Source: RNAcentral
AGGCAAUCUUUAUUACUAUUUAUUGGCUUUAUUGGGAAAUUGACCUUAAAUUAUACCCUAAUUCUCAUAUUGGACCUUAAAGUUUUUUUUCUUCAAAAAAUGGUCUAUAAACUAUUAAAAACUCAUAAAAAUCAACAAUAUCGUGUUGAUUUUACUUAAAUACAAGGAUGAAAUUACUCAAUUUAUAAUAAAAUGAUUAAUUUACUUUUCACCCUAAGUUUAAUCUCCAACUCUCAAAGAAAUUUUCUAAAGAU